AUAUAUACACAAUAUAAUAAUCAUAAAUGCAAUAAAUAGAGCAACACAAGCAACCUAAACUAUCCUAGAGAGCGCUAGGAGAGACUCGCUUAGGGAAGAUGGACCAGCAUAUGCAAACAUUUAUGCAAAUAUAUACACAAUAUAAUAAUCAUAAAUGCAAUAAAUAGAGCAACACAAGCAACCUAAACUAUCCUAGAGAGCGCUAGGAGAGACUCGCUUAGGGAAGAUGGACCAGCAGGAGGUCAAC
RNAcentral lists this long non-coding RNA (247 nucleotides) under Lathyrus oleraceus (garden pea). RNAcentral's name for it is "Pisum sativum (pea) long non-coding RNA (PSAT_LNC020404)". Lineage: Eukaryota; Viridiplantae; Streptophyta; Magnoliopsida; Fabales; Fabaceae. The record is from RNAcentral.